GACGAACGCUGGCGGCGUGCUUAACACAUGCAAGUCGAACGGAAAGGCCCUGCUUUUGUGGGGUGCUCGAGUGGCGAACGGGUGAGUAACACGUGAGUAACCUGCCCUUGACUUUGGGAUAACUUCAGGAAACUGGGGCUAAUACCGGAUAGGAGCGCCUGCUGCAUGGGGGGGGUUGGAAAGUUUCGGCGGUUGGGGAUGGACUCGCGGCUUAUCAGCUUGUUGGUGGGGUAGUGGCUUACCAAGGCUUUGACGGGUAGCCGGCCUGAGAGGGUGACCGGCCACAUUGGGACUGAGAUACGGCCCAGACUCCUACGGGAGGCAGCAGUGGGGAAUAUUGCACAAUGGGCGGAAGCCUGAUGCAGCAACGCCGCGUGCGGGAUGACGGCCUUCGGGUUGUAAACCGCUUUCGCCUGUGACGAAGCGUGAGUGACGGUAAUGGGUAAAGAAGCACCGGCUAACUACGUG
This 468-nucleotide ribosomal RNA is filed under the name uncultured bacterium. RNAcentral describes it as "partial 16S ribosomal RNA". It matches the Rfam family "Bacterial small subunit ribosomal RNA", at positions 28 to 507 of the family's 1533-position model. The record is from RNAcentral.